Astatotilapia calliptera (eastern happy) is the source of this 1017-nucleotide long non-coding RNA. Lineage: Eukaryota; Metazoa; Chordata; Actinopteri; Cichliformes; Cichlidae. The record is from Ensembl.
AAGACCUCCACCUUUGGGGAAAUAAGGGAGCAGGAGGAAUUCCUUCUUUUUUUGUUCUAAGCCAGGGCAGAAAAUUAAAGUGGAGUGCAUUAAACAAACAUUAACAUAAUAUGAGGGGCAGAGUGAAAAUACUCGACUUUGUCUGUGUCCAUCAUGUUCUAAGAAUAAGUGUUUCCAAAGUUUUUAAGUGUAGAUUUUGAUUGUUUUGCUUUCGCUGUGAAUUCAGGUGGACUGCCUGUUUCUAUUAUUUCUAACCACAUGGUGCUGACACGGGAAUGAUGAUGAUAUGAUUGCUUGGAAAGAAUGGUGAAGCUGAGGUUAAAAGUAAGAUUUUUUUUUUAAGGGUAACACAUGUUGGUCGGUCUCCUCUUUCGCUGCCAUCUUUUUUUUUCUUUCUUUAACCACAGGUUUCCAGCCACGCCUGUCCUAAAACAGAGACCUCUUUAGAAGAAAGUAACGUGAUAGGUAGGUGUUUUGAAAGUUAGGAUCCUGCUAUGAAUGUCAAAGUAUUCUUGUAAAGUUCUGGUUUAUAGGCUCAUUUAAUUUUAGGCUUUAAAGAGGAUUUAAUUUUUUAAAAUUUGCGUUACCAUCACUACUCACUCAAAAUAUUUUUUACCUCCAGCUAAAGGGAUGAAAGCUCUGUGCUUUAAUUUUCAAAAAUAAUAACAAAACUCAAAAAUUAUUAUUAUGUAAUUUUUUAUAACUUUUACAUUUUAACUAAUUUCUUUGCUUUUUCCCCCUAAAAUAUAUUUUUAUGUAUCAAUUUAAGAUGCAUUUCUCAGUGCAUUUGUACAUAUAGGUGUCAUGGUACUGGGUGUAUGACCCCGUGUUUCCAAGCUUCUGGACAUUAUGCUGUUUAUUUUCAGAUAUUCAAUGUGAUUCUUCCUCGUGGUUAUUUUUAUGUCAUGUAUAUGUUUCUGUUAGCCUUUAGUUCUUUGUGACUUGUGAGUUUUUUCCCUUAGUGUCUUCUCCUGUGUCUUAUCUUCACGUUUGUUUUUCUCUUGUCUCCGUGUUUGG